This 247-nucleotide ribosomal RNA is filed under the name uncultured bacterium. RNAcentral describes it as "partial 16S ribosomal RNA". It matches the Rfam family "Bacterial small subunit ribosomal RNA", at positions 111 to 354 of the family's 1533-position model. The record is from RNAcentral.
UAACGCGUGGGCAACCUGCCCUGUACAGGGGGAUACCAUCUGGAAACAGAUGCUAAUACCGCAUAAUCGCAUCAGCCCGCAUGGGCAGAUGCGGAAAGGGAGAAAUCCCGGUACAGGAUGGACCCGCGUCUGAUUAGCCAGUUGGCAGGGUAACGGCCUACCAAAGCGACGAUCAGUAGCCGGCCUGAGAGGGUGGACGGCCACAUUGGGACUGAGACACGGCCCAGACUCCUACGGGAGGCAGCAG